This 68-nucleotide non-coding RNA is filed under the name Paracoccus sp. (in: a-proteobacteria). Lineage: Bacteria; Pseudomonadati; Pseudomonadota; Alphaproteobacteria; Rhodobacterales; Paracoccaceae. The record is from RNAcentral.
AUGCGAAACCGGCCCUGCGGGGCCGGUCGGUCGGGCGUGGUGGCCCGGUCCUGAUGAUGCGGCCAAAG